RNAcentral lists this ribosomal RNA (578 nucleotides) under uncultured bacterium. RNAcentral's name for it is "bacterial SSU rRNA". It matches the Rfam family "Bacterial small subunit ribosomal RNA", at positions 102 to 674 of the family's 1533-position model. The record is from RNAcentral.
ACGGGUGAGUAAAACGUAGGGAUCUGCCUUGUGGACGGGGAUAACUUGGGGAAACUUGAGCUAAUACCGGAUAAGCUUUAAGAAGGAAAGGGUGGGACAGGAAACUGCCACUUGCCAUAAGAUGAGCCUACGUCGGAUUAGCUAGUUGGUAGGGUAAAGGCCUACCAAGGCGGUGAUCCGUAGCUGGUCUGAGAGGAUGGACAGCCACACUGGGACUGAGACACGGCCCAGACUCCUACGGGAGGCAGCAGUGGGGAAUAUUGGACAAUGGGCGAAAGCCUGAUCCAGCGAUGCCGCGUGUGCGAAGAAGGCCUGCGGGUUGUAAAGCACUUUGGUUGGGGAAGAAGGUUGGGAGUUUAAUAGACUUCUGAAUUGACGUUACCCAAAGAACAAGCACCGGCUAACUCUGUGCCAGCAGCCGCGGUAAUACAGAGGGUGCGAGCGUUAAUCGGAAUUACUGGGCGUAAAGGGCGCGUAGGCGGUUAUUUAAGUUAGAUGUGAAAUCCCUGGGCUUAACCUGGGAAUGGCAUUUAAGACUGAAUGGCUAGAGUAGAAUAGAGGGAAGUGGAAUUUCCGGU